AGAAGAUUUCAACCAGUGAGCUAAUGGCAAGUGCAAAGGUAGUAGCAGAGGCAGCACAGUCAGGUUUUGGGAAAGAUUUAGACAAAGACAAGACAGCAGAAGCUGCUGGUGAUCUUCUAGAUGCAGUUGGUCAGUAUGCUAAAUUGGAUGAUCAGAAAGGUGUAGGAUCAUAUGUUGAUAAAGCUGCUGAUUAUCUGCAUAAGUAUGAGAACACUACUACUGCUACUCCACCAGCUUCUAAACCUGCAGAUCAGCCCAAAAGUGAUGAAGCUGCUAAGCCUGAAGGUGAAGGAUCAGGUGGGAUUGGUGGACUAGGUGGUGAUUUUGCUAAGGUUGCUGG
RNAcentral lists this long non-coding RNA (340 nucleotides) under Medicago truncatula (barrel medic). Its description in RNAcentral is "long non-coding RNA (MTRU_LNC002106)". Lineage: Eukaryota; Viridiplantae; Streptophyta; Magnoliopsida; Fabales; Fabaceae. The record is from RNAcentral.